CCAUGCUGGACUUUGCAGACAUCCAUUCUUCAGUCUGUCAUGAGAUUCCUACUUGGGAAUAAUGCCAUGGCUUAGACUUAAGUCUACAAGUCCCAGUAGCCAGGACCGCUGACAGUGACUUCCAGGAUCUGGUGGAGUCCCUGGAAGACCUGCCCUGCCCUUCUGCUCACCAAGGUGUUGAAAAUUGAGGACUGCAAGGGAAUCAAUGUGGAACUCCUCUGUCUGAUUUAAGAACAGCCAGACUUACUCCAGACUCAGGAAGCCUCCCAAGCAAGACCCUUUUAUCUUUUGCAGCAUGUGGGGAUUGUCAGUGUGUGAAAUAAAUGGAAUAAAAAUUCUUAUGAGGCUAGAGAGAUCUCAGUAGUUAAGAACUCUUGCAGAAGAUAAGAAGCUCACAAGCACCUGAAAUUCCAGCUCCAGGGGUAUCCAGUGCUUGUGCAGGUGUCAGCAUUCACAUGUACACACCCCUACACACACACACACACACACACACACACACACACAUAUAAUUUUUUAAAAAAGAUUACACAUACCGAGCCAGGCAUGGUGGCACAUACCUCAACCUCAGCAUUCAGGAGACAAAGGCAGGCGAAUCUAUGACUCUGACAUCAGCCUGCCCUAUAUAUCGAGAUGCAGGCCAGCCAGAGCACCACAGAGACCUCGUCUCAAAAACCAAACCAAACCAACCAAUCAAACAAACGCCCCAAGAAUCUACAUGCUAAAGCUGGGGGUACUGUGAGUGCUGACAAUCCCAGCUUUCAGAAGGUGGUUGAAGGAGGAUCAGGGAUUCAAGGCCAGCCUUGGCUAUAUGAGUCCUAUCAAACACCAGUGUAACAGCAAAGAGAAUGAAGAUCUACAUCAGCCCUGAAUUAGAAAAUUUCCAGUGACUUUUAUGAACCCCAUACCUGAAAACCUCUGGUACAAAAGGAUCUAGAAGCCCCCCCAAAUAACUAAAAAUACCAUGUCACCCAGUAGGUCUACUCCAGACAGUCUUCCACUUUGGUAUGGAGCAGUGUACAGCUUGUUUAUCUAUCCACAGUCUCGCAGACAGAAUAGCAGCCCAUAGAGGCCAGAAGUCAGGCAAUGAACAGCAAGCUGUAUCUAAAGCAAACCCAAGGCCUCUAAGGCCGGUGUGUGGGUGCCGACUCCCUGUCUCAGGUGUUCUGAGUGCUGACUGGGCCCUUUUAUCUACUGAUAAGGAAGGUGAGCAUAAGAGAUCUUCAGAAAUGGUUCACACGGGCUCCCGGCUUCUUGAAAAACCGCAAGUGAUUGGCAAACGCUUCGGUUGCAGAUGCAAAGUCAAACAACAGCUGUUUCUUUCAGACUGCCCAAGAGGCAGGAGUCAUGCAUGGGGCAGUCCCCUUCCCCCUUCUCCCUUCCCCCACAGCCUCUUCCUCUUUCUGAUGUCACAUUUUUCUGACACCAAGAACGGAGGAAGCUAUCAAUAGAGACUUUCAAGAAGGGACACCCCACCCGACCCCCACCCCCUGCUAUAACCCUCUCUAAGAGUUAAUUAUAAAUCUUCCUUCUCAGUGGUUUUGGGAGAAGCUUGGGACCACAAAGCUUUGAAUUAUUGAGUGUUCUAAGGCAUGGAAUUACAGUGUCUAUAACUUCAUCUAGCACUCUCUGCUGAAAUGCAGAAUUGAGACGGCCCUUCCCUUACUUGCUGAGCAUUUUAAGGUGCAUACAGAGACAGAUAUUGAUUUGUUUGUUUGAGACAGGGUCUCUCUCUAUAGCCCCCAACUGGUCUCAAACUCAGAUAUCAUAAAGUUUUACCUGUUUAAUGAUAAUAAAAGAUCCUGAUGGUAUCUCUUUAAAGUAUCAAUUGAUUUAUUUUAUGUGU
Mus musculus (house mouse) is the source of this 1843-nucleotide long non-coding RNA. RefSeq annotates it as predicted gene, 40445. The transcript has 3 exons. Lineage: Eukaryota; Metazoa; Chordata; Mammalia; Rodentia; Muridae. The record is from RefSeq and is a predicted model, not a curated record.